CAGUGUUGUUGUGAGAGCUGUGUGAGGGUACAGUGUUGUUGUGAGAGCUGUGUGAGGGUACAGUGUUGUUGUGAGAGCUGUGUGAGGGUACAGUGUUGUUGUGAGAGCUGUGUGAGGGUACAGUGUUGUUGUGAGAGCUGUGUGAGGGUACAGUGUUGUUGUGAGAGCUGUG
This is a long non-coding RNA of Homarus americanus (American lobster), 172 nucleotides long. RefSeq lists it as uncharacterized. The record is from RefSeq and is a predicted model, not a curated record. The transcript is spliced from 3 exons. Lineage: Eukaryota; Metazoa; Arthropoda; Malacostraca; Decapoda; Nephropidae.